This 253-nucleotide ribosomal RNA is filed under the name uncultured bacterium. Its description in RNAcentral is "partial 16S ribosomal RNA". It matches the Rfam family "Bacterial small subunit ribosomal RNA", at positions 524 to 776 of the family's 1533-position model. The record is from RNAcentral.
UACAGAGGUCUCAAGCGUUGUUCGGAUUCAUUGGGCGUAAAGGGUGCGUAGGCGGCGCGGUAAGUCGGGUGUGAAAUCUUGGAGCUUAACUCCGAAACUGCAUUCGAUACUGCCGUGCUUGAGGACUGGAGAGGAGACUGGAAUUUACGGUGUAGCGGUGAAAUGCGUAGAUAUCGGGAGGAACACCAGUGGCGAAGGCGGCACUCUGGGCCGGUACUGACGCUGAGGAGCGAAAGCGUGGGGAGCGAACAGG